Molecule: non-coding RNA, 74 nt
Organism: Macaca mulatta (Rhesus monkey)
Lineage: Eukaryota; Metazoa; Chordata; Mammalia; Primates; Cercopithecidae
Source: Rfam
UGACCCUGGAAAUCCAGAGUGGGUGGGGCCUGUCUGACCAUUUCUAGGCGACCCACUCUUGGUUUCCAGGGUUG